Molecule: ribosomal RNA, 1554 nt
Filed under: Escherichia coli
Lineage: Bacteria; Pseudomonadati; Pseudomonadota; Gammaproteobacteria; Enterobacterales; Enterobacteriaceae
Also listed under: 3 other names
Description: bacterial SSU rRNA
Rfam family: Bacterial small subunit ribosomal RNA
Source: RNAcentral
AAAUUGAAGAGUUUGAUCAUGGCUCAGAUUGAACGCUGGCGGCAGGCCUAACACAUGCAAGUCGAACGGUAACAGGAAGCAGCUUGCUGCUUUGCUGACGAGUGGCGGACGGGUGAGUAAUGUCUGGGAAACUGCCUGAUGGAGGGGGAUAACUACUGGAAACGGUAGCUAAUACCGCAUAACGUCGCAAGACCAAAGAGGGGGACCUUCGGGCCUCUUGCCAUCGGAUGUGCCCAGAUGGGAUUAGCUUGUUGGUGGGGUAACGGCUCACCAAGGCGACGAUCCCUAGCUGGUCUGAGAGGAUGACCAGCCACACUGGAACUGAGACACGGUCCAGACUCCUACGGGAGGCAGCAGUGGGGAAUAUUGCACAAUGGGCGCAAGCCUGAUGCAGCCAUGCCGCGUGUAUGAAGAAGGCCUUCGGGUUGUAAAGUACUUUCAGCGGGGAGGAAGGGAGUAAAGUUAAUACCUUUACUCAUUGACGUUACCCGCAGAAGAAGCACCGGCUAACUCCGUGCCAGCAGCCGCGGUAAUACGGAGGGUGCAAGCGUUAAUCGGAAUUACUGGGCGUAAAGCGCACGCAGGCGGUUUGUUAAGUCAGAUGUGAAAUCCCCGGGCUCAACCUGGGAACUGCAUCUGAUACUGGCAAGCUUGAGUCUCGUAGAGGGGGGUAGAAUUCCAGGUGUAGCGGUGAAAUGCGUAGAGAUCUGGAGGAAUACCGGUGGCGAAGGCGGCCCCCUGGACGAAGACUGACGCUCAGGUGCGAAAGCGUGGGGAGCAAACAGGAUUAGAUACCCUGGUAGUCCACGCCGUAAACGAUGUCGACUUGGAGGUUGUGCCCUUGAGGCGUGGCUUCCGGAGCUAACGCGUUAAGUCGACCGCCUGGGGAGUACGGCCGCAAGGUUAAAACUCAAAUGAAUUGACGGGGGCCCGCACAAGCGGUGGAGCAUGUGGUUUAAUUCGAUGCAACGCGAAGAACCUUACCUGGUCUUGACAUCCACGGAAGUUUUCAGAGAUGAGAAUGUGCCUUCGGGAACCGUGAGACAGGUGCUGCAUGGCUGUCGUCAGCUCGUGUUGUGAAAUGUUGGGUUAAGUCCCGCAACGAGCGCAACCCUUAUCCUUUGUUGCCAGCGGUCCGGCCGGGAACUCAAAGGAGACUGCCAGUGAUAAACUGGAGGAAGGUGGGGAUGACGUCAAGUCAUCAUGGCCCUUACGACCAGGGCUACACACGUGCUACAAUGGCGCAUACAAAGAGAAGCGACCUCGCGAGAGCAAGCGGACCUCAUAAAGUGCGUCGUAGUCCGGAUUGGAGUCUGCAACUCGACUCCAUGAAGUCGGAAUCGCUAGUAAUCGUGGAUCAGAAUGCCACGGUGAAUACGUUCCCGGGCCUUGUACACACCGCCCGUCACACCAUGGGAGUGGGUUGCAAAAGAAGUAGGUAGCUUAACCUUCGGGAGGGCGCUUACCACUUUGUGAUUCAUGACUGGGGUGAAGUCGUAACAAGGUAACCGUAGGGGAACCUGCGGUUGGAUCACCUCCUUACCUUAAAGAAGC